AGUUGUCCCAAAAGGGCAUGGCUGGGUAGCUACAUUGCUAUUUGGAUAAACGCUGAAAGCAUAUAAGCGUGAAGCCAUCCCCAAGAUUAGGUUUCGUUGGACUUCGGUCCUGAACUCCCCUGGAAGACGACCAGGUUGAUAGGCUGGCUGUGUGAGGCGUGCAAGCGUCUGAGCUGACCAGUACUAACGGAGGAAUGCUUGACCAC
This 206-nucleotide ribosomal RNA is filed under the name Planctomycetaceae bacterium. RNAcentral describes it as "partial 23S ribosomal RNA". It matches the Rfam family "Bacterial large subunit ribosomal RNA", at positions 2719 to 2925 of the family's 2925-position model. The record is from RNAcentral. Lineage: Bacteria; Pseudomonadati; Planctomycetota; Planctomycetia; Planctomycetales; Planctomycetaceae.